AUUUGUGUGCGAGUGUGGCGGAGAGAAAGAUCUCAGGUUUUUGGAUGGAGAAGAAGCGAGGCCAGUGCGACGCUCGCUAUGUGCUCGACGUACGCUAGCUGAUCACGUGAGGCGGAGUUCAAGAGCCGAGUUGAUCUCAAGAUGAUGAAAUGAUGAACUACUCCGACAAACGAUGUUGACGAAUCGACCUAAUGAGAGAUGGACCUAUCAAGUGCCGAGAUGAAUAUGGUCACCAAGUGGUCGUCAAUUAACAACACUAACGUAGUGUUAUCCCAGGUUAUAUUUUUGUUCUGUUGUGGAUGGUGCUAAGUGCCGGUGGGCUCGGCCUUCUUAUAUAAGUAUAUCCCAUCUUUAGCUUCUUUAUUGAGGACUGUCACUUAAGCUAGCAUGUAUUUUAAAACUUAUAAAUGUUUUAUACAUUCAAAUUGUAAUAUUUUUGAAUCAAAUUCUCUUGUAAUCACUCCAAUGAUAUAUUGUAAUAUAGUAUAACUUGUAAAUGUUGUAACUUGUAAUCAUUUUGUAAUAAAGAAUUUAUUUCCGCUGC
Zea mays is the source of this 544-nucleotide RNA transcript. RefSeq lists it as uncharacterized. The transcript is spliced from 3 exons. The record is from RefSeq and is marked validated. NCBI's taxonomy places the organism in Eukaryota, Viridiplantae, Streptophyta, Magnoliopsida, Poales, Poaceae.